AGAGUGAUCCUGCUCAGACGAACGCUGCGGCGUGCUUAACACAUGCAAGUCGUACGGUAAGGCCCUUUCGGGGGUACACGAGUGGCGAACGGGUGAGUAACACGUGAGUAACCUGCCCACAACUUUGGGAUAACGCUAGGAAACUGGUGCUAAUACUGGAUAUGUGCUCCUGCUGCAUGGUGGGGUUGGAAAGCUCCGGCGGUUGUGGAUGGACUCGCGGCCUAUCAGCUUGUUGGUGGGGUAGUGGCCUACCAAGGCGGCGACGGGUAGCCGGCCUGAGAGGGUGACCGGCCACAUUGGGACUGAGAUACGGCCCAGACUCCUACGGGAGGCAGCAGUGGGGAAUAUUGCACAAUGGGCGCAAGCCUGAUGCAGCAACGCCGCGUGCGGGAUGACGGCCUUCGGGUUGUAAACCGCUUUCAACAGGGACGAAGCUUUUGUGACGGUACCUGCAGAAGAAGCACCGGCUAACUACGUG
This 478-nucleotide ribosomal RNA is filed under the name uncultured Propionibacterium sp. Its description in RNAcentral is "bacterial SSU rRNA". It matches the Rfam family "Bacterial small subunit ribosomal RNA", at positions 8 to 507 of the family's 1533-position model. Lineage: Bacteria; Bacillati; Actinomycetota; Actinomycetes; Propionibacteriales; Propionibacteriaceae. The record is from RNAcentral.